CCGGCGACCGGCGGACGGUGCGUAACGCGUAUGUAACCUACCUUUGACAGGGGGAUAACAUCGAGAAAUUGGUACUAAUACCCCAUAACAUCACCGGAGGCAUCUUCGGUGGGUUGAAAACUACAGGUGGUCAGAGAUGGACAUGCGUUGUAUUAGCUAGUUGGUGAGGUAACGGCUCACCAAGGCGACGAUACAUAGGGGGACUGAGAGGUCAACCCCCCACAUUGGUACUGAGACACGGACCAAACUCCUACGGGAGGCAGCAG
Molecule: ribosomal RNA, 266 nt
Filed under: uncultured bacterium
Lineage: Bacteria
Description: partial 16S ribosomal RNA
Rfam family: Bacterial small subunit ribosomal RNA
Source: RNAcentral